This 1008-nucleotide long non-coding RNA is filed under the name Gallus gallus (chicken). Lineage: Eukaryota; Metazoa; Chordata; Aves; Galliformes; Phasianidae. The record is from RNAcentral.
ACCUGGCCCUGGGGUGAGGGAAACGACCCGAAGGCCCCGCGGGGGUGCCUCCCCCGCCCGCCCCGCUCGGCGGGGCGGGACGGGGGAGCGUCCGCCCGCGGGGGCGCGCCCGACGUCCGCCGCCACCACCUCGCGUUCCUCCCGGGGCCCGGGGUUUCCCUCGGCAACCCGGCGCCGGGCGGCAGCUGCACCCGGGAGGAGCCGCGAGGCUCGGACCGCCCGCGCGGGACCGAAGCCGCCCGGGGCACCUCGCGCCUGCCGCGCGUACGCGGCGCGCGCGUCCCUCCGGCGCUCGCCCGGAGUCGGCCGGCUCCGCAGCCGCCCGCGACCCGGCCCCGUCCCCGCGACGGGCCGGGCGAAGGGGGUGGGGGGUGAGGCCGGGGGAAGCGGCCGACUUCCCGCGCCCCGCGCUCGGACCCGCCGCCCGCCGCCUCCCCCGCGCGCGGCCGCCCGCGCGGCUUCCCUCCGAGCGGACUCGGGGUGCCGGCGUCGACAGCGGCGGGGGCCGGUGGCGAGUUUCCGGCCGAGCGACGAAGCGGGGAGCCGUCCUUCCACCCUCCGCACCGCCGCCACCUCCCGACCCCGACCCCGCGGUCGGAGCGGGACUCGGCCGCGGGACGCUCCGGAGCGCGGCGACCCGGGCGAGGCCCGCGGGACGCGCGCGCGCGGGCGCGCGCCGGCGAGGCGACCGGACGGACCGGACCCGCGGCGUGCGGACCGACGGCGGACCGGCGCCGGGGGGGAGAGACGCGCCGGAGCGCCGGAGCGCCCCACACGCGCCUCCCCCCCCGGAGCUGCGCUCCGCGCCCUCGUCUCCCUUCUCUCUCGCCGGCAGGCGCGCGGAGCGACUUGCGGUGUUUUUUUUUUCUUUCCCCGUUUCGACCGGGGGAGAGGAGCCGCGCUCCGCGCGGAGCGGGCUCGGGGAAGGGAAGGGAAGGCUGCGCGCCCGCGCGCGCUCGUGCCACGGCUCGGCCGGACGCCCGGCCUCGGCCCCGGUAAUGAUCCUUC